GGCCCGUGUCCGGAUUGACAGCUGCGCUGCCCUCUUGAUGCUCAAAUUUCCUUUGAAGACCACCGAAUGUGCUGCUCUUUCUGUGUAUCUUCGUACCCGCGCUGCCAUUUAGUCUCCUUUGUGAACGUGCACUGCCCUCAAAAUUAGGUGGUAGCAGAGUGUCCAACAAGUAAAUGUUGAAACACCCUUCUUGUGUGUUCUCGUGAUCCUGCGCUGGAAUUACAUAGAAAGAUAUGGCAGCGCUGCCCAAAGAAAUCUCGUAUUUAGUCCACUCUUUCAAUAUUUAUUGUUGGAGUUCAAGAUUCCUGCGCUGUAAGAACUCUUGAGCAAAAAGAUUAGUAAAAUAUGAGAGCCCCUUGAAACAGGGCUAUAAACUCAUUGCAAAGGUAACCCAAAACUUUGAUCGUGUAAAUUU
This 415-nucleotide long non-coding RNA is filed under the name Salvia miltiorrhiza (redroot sage). RNAcentral describes it as "long non-coding RNA (SMIL_LNC002535)". The record is from RNAcentral. Lineage: Eukaryota; Viridiplantae; Streptophyta; Magnoliopsida; Lamiales; Lamiaceae.